RNAcentral lists this ribosomal RNA (440 nucleotides) under uncultured bacterium. RNAcentral describes it as "partial 16S ribosomal RNA". It matches the Rfam family "Bacterial small subunit ribosomal RNA", at positions 338 to 795 of the family's 1533-position model. The record is from RNAcentral.
CCUACGGGUGGCUGCAGUGGGGAAUAUUGCACAAUGGGGGAAACCCUGAUGCAGCGACGCCGCGUGAAGGAAGAAGUAUUUCGGUAUGUAAACUUCUAUCAGCAGGGAAGAAAAUGACGGUACCUGACUAAGAAGCCCCGGCUAACUACGUGCCAGCAGCCGCGGUAAUACGUAGGGGGCAAGCGUUAUCCGGAUUUACUGGGUGUAAAGGGAGCGUAGGCGGUUUAGCAAGUCAGAAGUGAAAGCCCGGGGCUCAACUCCGGGACUGCUUUUGAAACUGUUGAACUAGAUUGCAGGAGAGGUAAGUGGAAUUCCUAGUGUAGCGGUGAAAUGCGUAGAUAUUAGGAGGAACACCAGUGGCGAAGGCAGCAUGCCGGCUUCCGACUGACGCUGAAGCACGAAAGCGUGGGGAUCGAACAGGAUUAGAUACCCGAGUAGUC